CAGUAGCGUAUAUUAAAGUUGUUGCGGUUAAAAGCUCGUAGUUGGAUUUCUGCUUGGAAGACCUGGUCUCCUUCUUAAGGAACAAUCAGCGUCGUCUAGGCAUCCUCUGGAAAACGGUAUUUGUGCUUGAUUGCAUGGUGCCGAGUUCUGGACAUUUACUUUGAGGAAAUUAGAGUGUUCAUAGCAUGCAAUUGCAUUGAAUAUAUUAGCAUGGGAUAAUAAUAUAAGACUGAGUUUUUAUUUUGUUGGUUUCUAAGAAUUCAGUAAUGGUAAAUAGGAAUUGUCGGGGGUACUUGUAUUAACUCGUCAGAGGUGGAAUUCUUGGAUUGAGUUACGACAAACUACUGCGAAAGCAUUUACCAAGGAUGUUUUCAUUGAUCAAGAACGAAAGUUUGGGGAUCGAAGAUGAUUAGAUACCGU
Molecule: ribosomal RNA, 420 nt
Filed under: uncultured eukaryote
Lineage: Eukaryota
Description: bacterial SSU rRNA
Rfam family: Eukaryotic small subunit ribosomal RNA
Source: RNAcentral